CCUACGGGAGGCUGCAGUCGAGAAUCUUCGGCAAUGGGCGAAAGCCUGACCGAGCGACGCCGCGUGUGCGAUGAAGGCCUUCGGGUUGUAAAGCACUGUCGUGGGGGAGAAAAGGAAACUUGAUCGACCCCAGGAGGAAGCUCGGGCUAAGUUCGUGCCAGCAGCCGCGGUAAGACGAACCGAGCGAACGUUAUUCGGAAUCACUGGGCUUAAAGGGCGCGUAGGCGGAUCGUCAAGUCAGGGGUGAAAGCCCGCGGCUCAACCGCGGAAGUGCCUUUGAUACUGGCGGUCUUGAGGGAGGUAGGGGCGUGCGGAACUUCCGGUGGAGCGGUGAAAUGCGUAGAUAUCGGAAGGAACACCGGUGGCGAAAGCGGCGCGCUGGACCUCUUCUGACGCUGAGGCGCGAAAGCCAGGGGAGCGAACGGGAUUAGAUACCCCUG
This 440-nucleotide ribosomal RNA is filed under the name uncultured bacterium. Its description in RNAcentral is "bacterial SSU rRNA". It matches the Rfam family "Bacterial small subunit ribosomal RNA", at positions 338 to 790 of the family's 1533-position model. The record is from RNAcentral.